GGUGAAAGUGAACGCCAAACCGCAGUGCCUGGACCGAGUCAAAGAACGUCACGUAUCGGCAAACGUGACAUCGGCGUUCAAUGCGUCCUGACAGCGCAGGCUCUGCCUCGGGCUGGGGAGCAGCACCGGCGGGAGGAGGACCAGGGGACGGAGCUGCACCAGGGGGCCUACGACGAGGAGGGCAACCCACAGACUGCCUUAGUGCUGAUCAAACAGGAGGUGGACUGGGAGGCAGACUAUUCUGAUGACUACUCCCCUGGGUACAUACUGCUGAAGAAGGAGGGGGGGAGAUCUCCCGACUCUGGUCCGCAGACAACCUCUCAGAGAGUUACCAGGCAGAGCCCUGGUCCCACCUGGAGCCGUCAGGGCCCUGGUCAACCGUUGCACCCAGGAAAGGCCUCCCACCACCCAGCCUACCUCAGCAGAGG
Molecule: long non-coding RNA, 428 nt
Organism: Oncorhynchus masou masou (cherry salmon)
Lineage: Eukaryota; Metazoa; Chordata; Actinopteri; Salmoniformes; Salmonidae
Exons: 4
Source: RefSeq, a predicted model, not a curated record